Molecule: ribosomal RNA, 450 nt
Filed under: uncultured bacterium
Lineage: Bacteria
Description: bacterial SSU rRNA
Rfam family: Bacterial small subunit ribosomal RNA
Source: RNAcentral
CGAGCGUUGUCCGGAWUUAUUGGGCGUAAAGAGCUUGUAGGCGGUUUGUCGCGUCUGCUGUGAAAGGCCGGGGCUUAACCCCGUGUAUUGCAGUGGGUACGGGCAGACUAGAGUGCAGUAGGGGAGACUGGAACUCCUGGUGUAGCGGUGGAAUGCGCAGAUAUCAGGAAGAACACCGAUGGCGAAGGCAGGUCUCUGGGCUGUAACUGACGCUGAGAAGCGAAAGCAUGGGGAGCGAACAGGAUUAGAUACCCUGGUAGUCCAUGCCGUAAACGUUGGGCACUAGGUGUGGGGGACAUUCCACGUUUUCCGCGCCGUAGCUAACGCAUUAAGUGCCCCGCCUGGGGAGUACGGCCGCAAGGCUAAAACUCAAAGAAAUUGACGGGGGCCCGCACAAGCGGCGGAGCAUGCGGAUUAAUUCGAUGCAACGCGAAGAACCUUACCAAGGCU